This is a long non-coding RNA of Clupea harengus (Atlantic herring), 2530 nucleotides long. RefSeq lists it as uncharacterized. Lineage: Eukaryota; Metazoa; Chordata; Actinopteri; Clupeiformes; Clupeidae. The transcript is spliced from 3 exons. The record is from RefSeq and is a predicted model, not a curated record.
GAUGGUGGUGGGGAUGGCGGAGUUUGUGACGGUAGUGGUAUUUGAACGGCAGCUUGUUGCGGUGGUGCGGGUGGCUGUUCGAAUCUAGACCUACUGAUUACUACAGUAUAGUCUUCUUUUGAUAGGGCAGAAAUUACGACAUGCCCUCUUCGUCGUCUAAUAACAUCGAGUCUCUCUCUCGCCUCUGCCAACCAGACGCCAGCACAUGCGAGUUCGUCUUUAUGAUGCGUCUUUAACGUUUUCUUUCUCCUAUGGUGAUUAUUUAUGUCUUUACAUAAUUUCUCGCAAUCUUCUACAACUAGUUUCCCACUGAAACUAUAUUUUUCUAUCCAGCGAUCUACGUGUUUUGUAUGGGAAUCAGUAUGUUUUUUCUCCAUGAAUUUCUUAUCGCCAAUACCACCUUGUGGUUUAGUUGCCGCUUUUUUAAAUUAAAACAGAAUAUCUCAGACGGGUCAAAUAGAGACACCGGAAAGCAAGCUUCUAGACAAAUGAAAUCUGUCCGGCUUUCCCUGGGUGUUUGUACCACAGAGUCUCUAUCUGUUUUUAGACUGUUAAUCACUUGCUCCAGUCACACUCAUAUUCAUUAAUUAUGGUGAGUUUUUUUUUAUUAAGCAAAAUACUUCUCGAGUCUAUGAAAAAUAUCCGGAGACCGAGCUUCUAGACUGAUAAAUCAAUCCGGGUCUCCCUGGGAAGUUUGUACUCUCAGAUAUUUUCCAAAGUUUUAAUUUUGCUUGAUUACUUAGUCCAGUCACGCACUCAUUCACACAGAUGUACAUCCAUUCACAUAGGCCUAGAACUAGCGCUUUUAAGAGACCUCGAAUCUCUUUUUUUUUUUUUUUUUCCGUUCGUUCAGUAACUUAUGCUACUUACUUCAUACUAUGCUGUGUGUCCAACCUUGCUUCAGAUCCCGUCAGACCAGCCUCCUGGAGGCAGACCCCUUUCUGCCGGCCCACGUAGAAUUCACUAAAUGGGACUUUCUGCCGAUGGCUCUCUCGGCAGGACGUGCACUUGUCUUCGGCUUCCUGAAGUCUGCUCCCAGGCGGUCGGUCUUGUUGGGUUCCGGCUUCGAAAGGACCAAGAAAUGUCAGGGAAAAGACCCUCAACAGUUAGUUAGCAGAUUAAAAACACAAAUCAGCAUGUAAGUGAACUGGACUGUUUUCGAACAGGGCCCCGAUGGAGACAGACACCUUAAGUCUGUCUGACGUGCCAUGCUAAAAACAAGUCCUUUUAUUCAAACACAAUGUUUACACAGUAUGACAGUCAGGACGCUGGGAUGCACUUUAGGGUUACCUGCAGCUCAGCUGAAUUCUACUUCUGCUUAGCAACGAGUCAUUUUACAACCCGCUUUCUCCUUAUUUCAGAAAAACAUCACGUGAGGCAUCUGCUUUCACAUUCUCUGCUCACUCAGUGUUUUUCCAAAAUCAACCUACACACUUUACACACAACAUUUUGAACAAGCCUUUUAGCUAAAACAUUCAUGAUAAAAUAUACUAAUACUUUCUUUAACAUUUUCUCCCUAGGCUAGCUUUGGUGGUGUUCAACUUCUUCUGGUGUGAAGUAAUUCUUCAGCACUGGGUAGGUUAAAGGUUAAAGGUCAUCUCACUCCCUCUCUCUUGUUGUCUCAUCAUUUCUCUCUCCCCACCCGGCUGUUUCACUUCCUCUGUCACUGUACCCUUUACCUCUCUCUCUCUCUUCUCCAUCUCCCCUACCUCACUUCUCAUUUUCUCUCUCUCUCUCUUUCUCCAUCUCUUUGUCUCUCCUUACUCUUGUUUCUUCCCUUUUAUCUCUUUGCAUGCGUCUCUGUCCCCACCCAGGUGUGUGGUGGCGUCUCUCUGUUGACCCUGGCCCUGCAUGAUGACCUGCCCUACCUGCGCAGGUGAUGGAGCAGCUGCUGGUGUCUGAUGGAGCAGCCCAGUAACGCUCAGCCCAAACUGCUGCUGCGCCGCACAGAAUCAAUCGUGGAGAAGCUGCUCACCAACUGGAUGUCCGUCUGCCUCUACGGCUUCCUCCGGGCUACAAAAAAAUAUGUUGUGCUGAACUUCAUUGAAGAGAAUGAAGUGGAGGCAGCACCAUCAAACUGGCUGGAGUGCAGUGAUGGGGUAAGAUUUUUUUUUCUUCAUUUUAGCAAUUCAUGCAGUUAUAAUCAUCUUAAUCUUAGUCAACUCAAAAUAUGAAGUCUGUAAACACAAUUGUUUUCUAAAAAAGAAUGAAAUGUCUCCUCAAAGAAAUAGAUCAGUAAUUGUAUUCUCUCUCUAAAAAAAAUAAUAAUAUAUACGGUAUAUAUAUAUAUAUCAUGUCACAUCAACAUCAAAUGUUACAGAUUGUAUAUUGCUACUGGCCCCAGCGCAACCAUGCCACCCUCGCAAAGCGAUGUGCCCUGCCAGAUAAAGAACUCUGGACAAAAUACUCAGUGUACUCUCUGAAAAGGACACUUAUACUCUGGCAAGACAAAAGGUUCAAAGAGCACAAGAGACCUCUCAUCUUGACGACUCUGAACAAGAAUCCCGGCGGAUUAAGCUCCCGGAAAGAU